CUAUUGAGGAGCAGACCUGGUGUGUCUGCCUUAUGUGAUCAAUACAGAGAAGUAGAAGGUGCCUGCUGGGGAAACAUGCCCACUUCAGGAGGAAGAAAGACCACACAUAGAAAACACUGAAAAGUUGCUGGGCACUGUGGCUCACGCCUAUAAUCCCAACAGGGGAUUUGGGAGGCUGAGCUGGGUAGAUCUCUUGAGGCCAGGAGUUUGAGACCAGCCUGGCCAACAUGGUGAAACCCCGCCUCUACUAAAAAUACAAAAAUUAACUGGGUGUGGUGGUGCAUGCCUGUAAUCCAAGCUACUUAUGAGGCUGAGGGACAAGAAUCACUUGAACCCAGGAGGUCAAGUUUGCUGUGAGCCAAGAUCAUGCCACUGCACUCCAGCUUGGAAACAGAGUGAGACUCUACCUUAAAAAAAAAAAGAAAAAAAAAAAAAAGAAAAAAAAGAAAAGAAAAAGAAAAAGAAAAGAAAAGAAAAGAAGAGAAAAGAAAAGAAAAGAAAAGAAAACACUGAAAAGAUCUGCUUAGGCAUCUCCUCCACCAGACUAUCAGCAACCAUGACAGGAACCAGGACCUAGGCAUAGCUCUUCUCAAUGCUUUCCUGAGUAUCCACUGCACAACAGGGCUUCUGAAAAUGGUUUGAAAUGAACUGAACUACAGAAGAUCAAAGUCAGAACUUCAAAAGGAGAGAGUUAACCAAAGAAAGGUAUUUGACUGGAAGCAUUUCAUCUCAAUGUUCAUUUAGUUAAUUUCUACCAGAUAUUCAACACUGCAUUGGACCCUGGAAGGGAGAUGAAACAUUGGAUAUUGUAUAAAGAGAAGAAAGACAAGUGAUAUUUGGAGAGUUUGGGAUGAAAAGAAGAGAAGGGAGUGAACCAAAAUUCACUGACCUAUGUGUCAUACUAGGGGUGGUGCAUUUUAUAUUGAAUAUUUCAUGUAAUCCUUAUAAUGCCCAUACUAAGCAUGUACCACUAUUCUCAUUUUACUAACAAGGAACCUGAGACUCAGUGAGAUUAAAUAACUUGCUCAAGGCAAUAAGGCUAACAGGGAACAGAUUCGAGCUUUGAUAUGAGACUACAAAGUCCAUAGAUCUCUCCACUCAACCACACUUGCUUCUGAAACAUUCUACAAACUGAUCCCUGAAGUAGAGCAUUCUAUACAUCCCAAUCAUCAACUCCAAUUUAAUAACAGGUACCGCAAAACCACAGAAACAUCAAGAACAGUUGUUCCAAUGUAUUCACCACUGGAGGUUGAGACUUGAGCCAUGAAUGGAAUUAAACUGUAUCAUUAGAAACAGAGACUGGGCAAGUGAGUUUAAGACUCCCUGUCUCAUGCUUUA
This 1338-nucleotide long non-coding RNA is filed under the name Homo sapiens (human). Its description in RNAcentral is "HSALNT0239651". The record is from RNAcentral. Lineage: Eukaryota; Metazoa; Chordata; Mammalia; Primates; Hominidae.